Long non-coding RNA from Cyanistes caeruleus (blue tit), 818 nucleotides. RefSeq lists it as uncharacterized. NCBI's taxonomy places the organism in Eukaryota, Metazoa, Chordata, Aves, Passeriformes, Paridae. The record is from RefSeq and is a predicted model, not a curated record.
GGGAGCUAAUGGAGCUGGUGUAGUCUCUCAGAGGAGAUAAUUUAGGUAUGCUGGAUAUCUUAACUACCUUUUUUAAAGCCUGGAAUAAUUUGGUUCUAAUUUCUGAGCAGGGACUUGAAGCCCACACAGCAUCUGAUCCAAAAUGGCAUCAGGCAGCAAAGGCACAAGGCAAACUACCCAUGGAGGAAAUUCUAGCUUGAAAACCUGCCUUAGCUUUACCCCAGCAGACAUGCAGAUACCACGGCUUUGGCUCAAGCAUUAUGGUGCAUCACAAAAGGAGAGACUCAAGUACCACAGGGAACACAAAUUAAAUCUGAAGAGGAGAAACUUUGGAAUGAAAUCUUUGUUUCUUCUUCAUUACCUUGUAAGGAGCUGCACUUUCCUCCUACUACAAGAUCACUGUGUUCCUUUCCAAAUGUGGAUAUUAGUCUAAAAAUCCAGCCUUCUGUAAAUGUGAACACUUAUGUUGUUUUUUUUUAUGUUGUACAUACCUGAAGAAGUGCUGCCCUCUGAUCUUUCUCCAGUUGCCUGACUCCCCACAAAAUAUUUUUUUCCCACUAGAAAUAAUGAAGCAACCUGACUUGCAAUAGGAGAACAAUGUUCUGGAAACCAUGAGAGCAGCCUGUUUGCCACAGUUACAAAGGACAAGUAUUAUAGGACCUGGAUUUCAAGAUGCUGAUAGAUAUUGCUUUUGACUUGAAUGAAAAAUCAAUUGGCCUUCAAUCCUUGACACACUCAGAAGAAAACACUUCCUUACUAGUUCUGUCAUGGUUUUCUUCCACAGGUUUGGAACAUAAUGUCAUUCUCUGCACAGCAGC